RNAcentral lists this ribosomal RNA (1190 nucleotides) under Andrena sp. Ansp643. RNAcentral describes it as "eukaryotic LSU rRNA". It matches the Rfam family "Eukaryotic large subunit ribosomal RNA", at positions 401 to 1266 of the family's 3401-position model. Lineage: Eukaryota; Metazoa; Arthropoda; Insecta; Hymenoptera; Andrenidae. The record is from RNAcentral.
GAAACCGUUCAGGGGUAAACCUGAGAAACCCAAAAGAUCGAAUGGGGAGAUUCAUCGUCGACGAGGCUGGCUCCCGUCGGUGCGCGAUACUCCGGGUGGGACCUGUGUGGUUCCCAUUAGCGAGGGUACACCACCGGCGGCGAAUGUUCCGGCCACGUAGUCGUGCACUUCUCCCCUAGUAGAACGUCGCGACCCGUUGCGUGUCGGUCUACGGCCCGAGCGGUUGCCUGUUUCGUUGCUCCCCGGAGCACGCGACAGACCCUCGGUCGCCCGGCCGGCUGCGCGACGGUACUCUCGGACGGUAUCGGGCCGCAACCAAUCCAUUCUCUCGAAUGUGUGUGCGUCAGGCCCGCCGCAAGCCCGGUCAGUUCUUACCCGGAGGCACGGACCUGGUGCCGUCCCCGGGCCUGGCCAGCUGUUAGCAGGCGGUGUCCUUGGACUGGCCAAGCUUCGAAUUACCGGUCGGCGACGCUACUGCUUUGGGUACUCUCAGGACCCGUCUUGAAACACGGACCAAGGAGUCUAACAUGUGCGCGAGUCAUUGGGAGGAAAGAAACCUAAAGGCGGAAUGAAAGUGAAGGUCGACCUUGGCGUCGACCGAGGGAGGAUCGGCCGCGUUACGAUGCGGCCCCGCACUCCCGGGGCGUCUCGUUCUCAUCGCGAGAAGAGGCGCACCUAGAGCGUACACGUUGGGACCCGAAAGAUGGUGAACUAUGCCUGGUCAGGACGAAGUCAGGGGAAACCCUGAUGGAGGUCCGUAGCGAUUCUGACGUGCAAAUCGAUCGUCGGAACUGGGUAUAGGGGCGAAAGACUAAUCGAACCAUCUAGUAGCUGGUUCCCUCCGAAGUUUCCCUCAGGAUAGCUGGCACUCGCUCGUUCCUACGGGAACGUGCGCGAGUUUCAUCUGGUAAAGCGAAUGAUUAGAGGCCUUGGGGCCGAAACGACCUCAACCUAUUCUCAAACUUUAAAUGGGUGAGAUCUCUGGCUUGCUUGGAUCAUGAAGCCACGAGAUAAAUAAUCUCUAUUAUAUAUAUCGAAUCAGAGUGCCAAGUGGGCCAAUUUUGGUAAGCAGAACUGGCGCUGUGGGAUGAACCAAACGCGGAGUUAAGGCGCCUAAGUCGACGCUUAUGGGAUACCAUGAAAGGCGUUGGUUGCUUAAGACAGCAGGACGGUGGCCAUGGAAGUCGGAA